GCAAGCCGGGGAACCUUCGCCUGCUGGACUCUCUCUCUCUCUUGCGGGGGAGAGGGGAGGAUUAUUAUCAUCAUUAUUUUGAGUGAGGGGCGAUCCUAAUGCCCCGCCAGCGUACAAUGAUGAACGAGGCUGAUAUUGUGCUGGUAGAGGACACGCAACAGCCUAGCUAUGAAAAGAGGACAAAAAAGUCACGGAAGCGCAGCCGAGAAGAAGUCAAACAGCCAGUUGUGUCCUCUGAUCAGACAUCUUCCCAGGAUACAGAAGAUGCUGGGACUAGUAGAAAAAAACAUAAGAAGAAAAAAUCCAGUUUGGAAACUUCUGAUGCUUCCUGGGUCAUCCCCGAGACUCCGCUGAGCGAUGAGUCCGAAAUAAAUAACUUUGUGCCCAAGAAGAAGAAGAAAAAGAUGAAACACAGACUUAAACAUGGUAGUGAUGAGGAGGGUUGGAGCCCAUCAAUUCCCAACAAAUCCAGUCAACCAUCCCUCAAAAAGGCCUUGGCAAAUGGGGGUGUUGAUGAUGAUGAGUUUUGGAGCUCAUCAACUCCCAACAAAUCCAGUAAACUAUCUCGGAAGGAGGACUUGGGGAAUGUCAGCGUGGUUGAUGGUAACAGGUCAUCUCGUAAGAAGAAGAAGAAGAAGAAAAGGAAACGAAGGGAGGGUAGCUAUGUCCCUGGUGAACUUGAGAAGGAGAAGGCUGAGGCCACAAGUUCACAGAGAGAAGAUCAGGUGGACCUUGACCAAACGAUAGACACGCAGAUGGAUCUCUUUGGCUCCUUGCCUUUCUCCUUCUCCGAGGGACCACAAGUGGACCUUCACCCGGGGCAUGGCCAAGAGGGAAGCUGUUCUCCCACUGCUGAGGUUUCUGAGGCUACUCGGGUGGACCUGGAGAUGGAAGGAACAUCAGCUGGAGACCAUGAACAGACACAACCCCAACCAAAAUUGCCCGCUUCGGGGGUUAACACCAAAUUGGAUCAAUCCCAAACGGGUAUGAAACUCCGAUCUUCACGCAAGCGGUCCCCUCCCGAAACAUAUUCUGAGGAGGAAGAAGAGGAUUGGUAUGCUCUGGAUAGGGAACAACUGGAGAAUGCCCGAAAAGAACUAGAGGAAUUCAUCCCUCGGGCAAAGACACUGGCAGAUUCUGCGAUCAGGCAGCUGGCCAAACGAGAUCUAGCCAGGUUUCGGGAGC
Molecule: long non-coding RNA, 1185 nt
Filed under: Notechis scutatus (mainland tiger snake)
Lineage: Eukaryota; Metazoa; Chordata; Lepidosauria; Squamata; Elapidae
Description: lncRNA (ENSNSUG00000019948.1)
Source: RNAcentral